UCCCCUUCUUUUCGCAGGGAAAAAAAUACACGACUCUCAUCCCGUGGAUCAGAUCCCGAAUCGGUACGAGAUCGACCACAAGUGACCUAUGCCUCUCCCGCGAUCUGGACGGGCCGGCGGCGCGGUGGCAGGGGCGGAUGGACAGCGGCGGCGCAGCCAGCCGAGCAGAUAAAGGACACGCUCCCUCCCUCCUCCCUCUCCAAUCGGCGGCAGAGAGACCAGCCGAGCGGCGCGGGAUAGACCCAGAGACCCCACCUCCGUCCGAGCUCGGCCGGCGUCGCCCUUGAGACGUCAUCUCUGGCGCCCUCUCCAUCUCCGGAUGCUUCGCACUGGAGAAAGAGAUGACAUGAUGAUGAAGCUUUUUUAGAUCUUGUCGUCUUCCAGCUUAUAUGAUGGGAGAUCAAGGAUGAACCGACCAAUGUUUGAUCAGUUGUCUACCAAGUUAUUUUGAUCAGGCUAUUCUAUGCUGCGUUUUUGCUAUUUAUCCGUGAAUAUAUAUGGUGUAAUAUUGGCAAAAAGACUAUUAAACUGGUGUUUGGUUCAGCCAUGUAGUACAAGCUGGCUUGGUUUAGUCAUGUUGCUACUGCUACUUU
This is a long non-coding RNA of Lolium perenne, 593 nucleotides long. RefSeq lists it as uncharacterized. Lineage: Eukaryota; Viridiplantae; Streptophyta; Magnoliopsida; Poales; Poaceae. The record is from RefSeq and is a predicted model, not a curated record.